RNAcentral lists this ribosomal RNA (362 nucleotides) under uncultured bacterium. Its description in RNAcentral is "bacterial SSU rRNA". It matches the Rfam family "Bacterial small subunit ribosomal RNA", at positions 28 to 372 of the family's 1533-position model. The record is from RNAcentral.
GACGAACGCUGGCGGCGUGCUUAACACAUGCAAGUCGAACGAGGGAAUUGAAAGCUUGCUUUUGAAACCCGAGUGGCAAACGGGUGAGUAACGCGUAGGCAACCUGCCGUUGAGAUGGGGACAACAUCCCGAAAGGGGUGCUAAUACCGAAUGUUGUGAGAGCUUCGCAUGGAGCUUUCACUAAAGAUGACCUCUCCUUGGAAGUUAUCGCUCAACGAUGGGCCUGCGUCUGAUUAGCUAGUUGGUGGGGUAACGGCCCACCAAGGCGACGAUCAGUAGCCGGUCUGAGAGGAUGAACGGCCACAUUGGGACUGAGACACGGCCCAAAUCCUACGGAGCAGCAGUCGGGAAUCUUCCGCAAU